UACAGAGGUCUCAAGCGUUGUUCGGAUUCAUUGGGCGUAAAGGGUGCGUAGGCGGCGCGGUAAGUCGGGUGUGAAAUCUUGGAGCUUAACUCCGAAACUGCAUUCGAUACUGCCGUGCUUGAGGACUGGAGAGGAGACUGGAAUUUACGGUGUAGCGGUGAAAUGCGCAGAUAUCAGGAAGAACACCCGUGGCGAAGGCGGCUCUCUGGUACGUGACUGACGCUGAGACGCGAAAGCGUGGGGAGCGAACAGG
This 253-nucleotide ribosomal RNA is filed under the name uncultured bacterium. Its description in RNAcentral is "partial 16S ribosomal RNA". It matches the Rfam family "Bacterial small subunit ribosomal RNA", at positions 524 to 776 of the family's 1533-position model. The record is from RNAcentral.